RNAcentral lists this long non-coding RNA (1592 nucleotides) under Pan troglodytes (chimpanzee). RNAcentral describes it as "long non-coding RNA NONPTRT009288". Lineage: Eukaryota; Metazoa; Chordata; Mammalia; Primates; Hominidae. The record is from RNAcentral.
GCCUACCACCCUGGCUGGGCCACGAGCACAGCGCCUGGUUCCACAUGCCUCAGGGAUGAGCCGCAGAGAGUGUGACCAGGCCCAGCUGACACAUCUCAGAGCAGAUGUGGGUCUGCCUCCCACAGGCCCAGCCGGCCCCCCGACACCAGCCAAGUCUCAGCCCGUCAUCGUCCCCCGGGGGUGGUGCUGGGCCUUGUGGGGCAGAAGGAAAGAGACAGCGUUCCUUCCAGGCAUUUUAAGCAGAAAGGAUCCAACACAGGGAACUGAACACUCACAACAUUGCUAGAAGGGCUGGAGAGGCACCAGCACCACACAGCAGAACUGGACCUUCAGGAGAGCUGCCAGCCACUCAGGAUGGUGGGGAAUCAGAAGGCCACAGAGGAGCCGUAGACUUUGAGAACGUAUCGCAGCACCAUCCAGCCAUCUAGAGAUGAGGAAGCCACCACCACCACCCCUACCUCUAGACUCCCCAAGAGUGGUAACCGGACGCCAAGGUUGCUGCAAGAAAAUCCAUCCCAUGACCAUGCUCACCAGCAGAAAGAGAGCCCAGGAAAAACAAGGUGGCCCCCACUUCCUGACUCUCACAGGAAGGCAUCUGCCUGGCGGGACCUGCAGAGCGUUCAGAGCCCCUGCUGCAAAGGAGGCUGGGGAAUGUGGCGUGUAGCCUUCCAGUCUCUGCAGCCUCUUGCUAGAAAGAGAUAUUAAUAGGAAUGGAUGCUGAGGAUCAGAUGACCCUGAACAUGAGGUCUUAGGAUUCCCUAUCUCAGCCCCAACACCCUGUGCGAAUGGAAACCUCUGCUUACUUGUCUGUGUUCCCUGAUGGACUGUGGACACUUCAAAAGGCCAGGAUGAUGCCUUGGAUAUCUUGGGCUCAGCAGCAUCUUGCAUAGGCCCAAUGCAAGACAACAGUAGUCACGUAAGAAGAAAAAGAAGAACUGACAUUUAUUGAGCAUUUACUAUGCACUGAGCACUGGGCUACAUGUUUUACAUACCUGUUGACAUAUUCACAACCCAAUAGGGUAGGCAUUAUGCUGUCCCUAUUUAUACAUGAAGAAGAGAAGGUCCAUAGAGGUGAAGUAAGUUUCCCAAGGUCACCCAGCCAGUACAUAUCAGAGAUGAGAUUAAAAAUGCAAUCUGUCUGACUUCAAGCUCCAAACACUUGCCACUUAUGAGAGGCAACUUUAUCUUCUCCCAGGCAAUGUUUUGCAAUGAAUGAAUGAAUACACAAGUGUCUUCUCCUUUAGGAAACUACCUGUCCCCAUCUCAGCUGCCUUCCCUCCACUGGGCCUGGGUUCCUCUCCAAGAUCAGGGCUCAGAGAGUAAAAAUAAUACAUAAGACUGCACUGGGACUCCUCACCUAGGGUCUGUAGGUGGCUCUUAGGCUCCAUGACCACCACUCCCAUAAAGUUGAUAACAUUUUGUGUCUAUAUGCAAUUUUCUGGAGAUACGACUCAAAGUUUUCACUAAGCUUUCAAACUUCAAAAACUUGAUACUGCUGCAUCAGGAAGGAACACAGGAAUUUUCCUGCCUCCUGACCUCAGUUCCGAUCUAUGACAUAGCAUGCAUUCACCUGUAUAUCCAUCCAACUCUCG